AGUAUGUAACAUGAGAGGCAGUAUGGUCCAAUGGAUGAGGCACUGGACUGAACCUCAUCAGACCAACCUUACGUUUCUACCUUUGCCACAGACUUGCUGUGUGACUUCGGGCAAGUCAUUUCCCUUCUAUGUACAUCUAUUUGCCCUCCCAGCCUUUGUCUGACUUGACUUGUGUAAGCUCUGUGAGGCAGGGACUAUUUCUUCCUAUGAGUUUGCACUGUACCUCACACAAUGGGACUCCAAACUCAGUUGGGUGUUGUAGUCAUUACCAUAAUAUGUAUAGUGAUCAUACACAUGUGAGUAGCCCCAUUGAUGUCAAUGGGACUAUCUGUGCUUAAAGUUUUGCAUGUGCUAAAGUAACUUCCUGAAUCAGAGCCUGCCUUUGCUAAUUUUGUGAGAAAUCAGGCCAUCACAAUCUCUCUGCUUUAGCAUUUUGUAAAAAGUCUCUAUUACUGGCAAAAGAGAUUACUGAAUAUUUCUGCUGCUCCUUUUCUCAGAUCUGCACUCUACUUUGCCACAUAACUAAACCCAAUUAUCUGAUUCAUUUAUUCUAAUAUCUGCACUAGUUAGCCUUGCAAAUUGUGUGAAUGUGUUUAUGGUGGGAUAGUGCAUGCUCUAUUUUAAAAAAUGAAAUACAAGCACUAAUAAGAUUUUAUGAAUGAAAUAGUUCUGUUAUGAACUACUCACCUUUAACUUUUGUUAGUCUAGUAUUUAAUUAAACUUCAAGCUGAAGAUCUGUGUUAAAAAUAUUUUGUACUAAUUCAGUCAAAUUGCCAAAGCUUCAGUGGUAUGUGAACUACAAGUUCAGAGAACCACUUUGUAUUAAAGUAAUAGAUCUAAGUGAGAGAGCUUAAAAUUAGCAAUGAAGGAAGGUCAUAUUGUUGGAAUGUACAAUAGGAAGUUAGACAAGGAUGGUAGGCUGCCUGAAACCUAAAUAAAUCUCUUGGGAAAGAAUCAGAAGACCUUGAUUGCCUAAACAAAGCUAAAAGCUAGUUGCUAGUUUCCAGCAGAAACUCAUGCAGAAGUUUCCUAUGUAAAGCAAUUUCCUAUUAAAUUGAUUUAAAUAGCUCAUAAGUGGAAUAUAAAUAACAUAGCACAUCCACCUAAUACCAUGUUGCUGAAACCAUGAAUGGCUGUGUAUCAUGAGUUCAUAAUUUACGUAACAGUAAUGCUGUUGUAUACAGAACACUACCACAUUGACGCCUGGGUUGUUUGAAGUUGAUAACCAGGUCACAACUUUAUUAUA
This is a long non-coding RNA of Dermochelys coriacea (leatherback sea turtle), 1246 nucleotides long. RefSeq lists it as uncharacterized. The transcript is spliced from 2 exons. The record is from RefSeq and is a predicted model, not a curated record. Lineage: Eukaryota; Metazoa; Chordata; Testudines; Dermochelyidae.